AAUAGAUACCCUGGUAGUCCACGCCGUAAACGUUGGGCGCUAGGUGUGGGGCUCAUUCCACGAGUUCCGUGCCGCAGCUAACGCAUUAAGCGCCCCGCCUGGGGAGUACGGCCGCAAGGCUAAAACUCAAAGGAAUUGACGGGGGGCCCGCACAAGCGGCGGAGCAUGCGGAUUAAUUCGAUGCAACGCGAAGAACCUUACCAGGGCUUGACAUAUACCGGAAACACCCAGAGGUGGGUGCCCCGCAAGGUCGGUAUACAGGUGGUGCAUGGUUGUCGUCAGCUCGUGUCGUGAGAUGUUGGGUUAAGUCCCGCAACGAGCGCAACCCUCGUUCUAUGUUGCCAGCACGUUAUGGUGGGGACUCAUAGAAGACUGCCGGGGUCAACUCGGAGGAAGGUGGGGAUGACGUCAAAUCAUCAUGCCCCUUAUGUCCUGGGCUUCACGCAUGCUACAAUGGCCAGUACAAAGGGCUGCGAUACCGCGAGGUGGAGCGAAUCCAAAAAACUGGUCUCAGUUCGGAUUGGGGUCUGCAACUCCG
Molecule: ribosomal RNA, 538 nt
Filed under: uncultured bacterium
Lineage: Bacteria
Description: bacterial SSU rRNA
Rfam family: Bacterial small subunit ribosomal RNA
Source: RNAcentral